This 274-nucleotide non-coding RNA is filed under the name Phascolarctos cinereus (koala). The record is from RNAcentral. Lineage: Eukaryota; Metazoa; Chordata; Mammalia; Diprotodontia; Phascolarctidae.
UGGUGACCUUCACCUAGAAUCCUGACUACUGGGAAGAUUGAGGCUGGUGAGUAGUUCUAAGCCGCAAUGGGCUAAGCUGACUGGGCAUUCUGAUUAAGUCUGAUACCAACAUGGUGAGACCCUGGAAGUGGGGUACCUCCAGGUUGCCUAAGGAGGGAUGGAUUGGACCAAGUUGGAAAUGGAAUAAGUCAAAGGUCUCAUCUUGAUUAUUAUUGGGAUUAGGCUUGUGAGCAGCCCUUGUACUCAGCCUAGGUGAGAUAGGGAGACCCAAUCU